This 170-nucleotide unclassified non-coding RNA is filed under the name uncultured Ascomycota. RNAcentral describes it as "sequence contains ITS2". Lineage: Eukaryota; Fungi; Ascomycota. The record is from RNAcentral.
ACAGCAAUCAAGCACGGCUUGUGUUGAGCUUUUUUAACAAAUGUUCCCUUUUUGCGAACAAGCUUGAAAUACAAUGGCGAUGCCGAUUUUUUAGUGCCCAAGCGUUAUAGGGCUUUGUCACACGCUUUGGUGGCCCAAGUCGGCUCUGCCUAGCCUUUCUAUUUGACCAG